CGCGUAGGUGGUAGUGCAAGUCUGAUGUGGAAUCUUAGGGCUUAACCCUAAAAUUGCAUUGGAAACUGUAUUACUUGAGUCAGUGAGGGGAGGGUAGAAUUCCUGGUGUAGCGGUGAAAUGCGUAGAUAUCAGGAGGAAGGCCGGUGGCGAAGGCGGCCCUCUGGCGCUGAACUGACACUGAGGCGCGAAAGCGUGGGUAGCAAACAGGAUUAGAUACCCUGGUGGUCCACGCCCUAAACGGUGGGUACUAGGUGUAGGGCUCGUAAGGGUUCUGUGCCGAAGCGAAAGCAUUAAGUACCCCGCCUGGGGAGUACGGCCGCAAGGUUGAA
RNAcentral lists this ribosomal RNA (330 nucleotides) under uncultured bacterium. Its description in RNAcentral is "bacterial SSU rRNA". It matches the Rfam family "Bacterial small subunit ribosomal RNA", at positions 568 to 898 of the family's 1533-position model. The record is from RNAcentral.